AUAGGAUUAUGCCAUGUGUCAAGU
Molecule: non-coding RNA, 24 nt
Filed under: Arabidopsis thaliana (thale cress)
Lineage: Eukaryota; Viridiplantae; Streptophyta; Magnoliopsida; Brassicales; Brassicaceae
Source: RNAcentral